Molecule: ribosomal RNA, 449 nt
Filed under: uncultured bacterium
Lineage: Bacteria
Description: partial 16S ribosomal RNA
Rfam family: Bacterial small subunit ribosomal RNA
Source: RNAcentral
AGCGAACGCUGGCGGCAGGCUUAACACAUGCAAGUCGAGCGGGCAUAGCAAUAUGUCAGCGGCAGACGGGUGAGUAACGCGUGGGAACGUACCUUUUGGUUCGGAACAACACAGGGAAACUUGUGCUAAUACCGGAUAAGCCCUUACGGGGAAAGAUUUAUCGCCGAAAGAUCGGCCCGCGUCUGAUUAGCUAGUUGGUGGGGUAAAGGCCCACCAAGGCGACGAUCAGUAGCUGGUCUGAGGAUGAUCAGCCACAUUGGGACUGUGACACGGCCCAAACUCCUACGGGAGGCAGCAGUGGGGAAUCUUGGACAAUGGGGGCAACCCUGAUCCAGCCAUGCCGCGUGAGUGAUGAAGGCCCUAGGGUUGUAAAGCUCUUUUGUGCGGGAAGAUAAUGACGGUACCGCAAGAAUAAGCCCCGGCUAACUUCGUGCCAGCAGCCGCCGUAA